UGGGGAAUAUUGGACAAUGGGCGCAAGCCUGAUCCAGCCAUGCCGCGUGAGUGAUGAAGGCCCUAGGGUUGUAAAGCUCUUUCACCGGUGAAGAUAAUGACGGUAACCGGAGAAGAAGCCCCGGCUAACUUCGUGCCAGCAGCCGCGGUAAUACGAAGGGGGCUAGCGUUGUUCGGAUUUACUGGGCGUAAAGCGCACGUAGGCGGACUAUUAAGUCAGGGGUGAAAUCCCGGGGCUCAACCCCGGAACUGCCUUUGAUACUGGUAGUCUUGAGUUCGAGAGAGGUGAGUGGAAUUCCGAGUGUAGAGGUGAAAUUCGUAGAUAUACGGAGGAACACCAGUGGCGAACGCGGCUCACUGGCUCGAUACUGACGCUGAGGUGCGAAAGCGUGGGGAGCAAACAGG
Molecule: ribosomal RNA, 404 nt
Filed under: Actinomycetes bacterium
Lineage: Bacteria; Bacillati; Actinomycetota; Actinomycetes
Description: Actinobacteria bacterium partial 16S ribosomal RNA
Rfam family: Bacterial small subunit ribosomal RNA
Source: RNAcentral